RNAcentral lists this small RNA (29 nucleotides) under Bombyx mori (domestic silkworm). RNAcentral describes it as "ovarian small RNA-15116". Lineage: Eukaryota; Metazoa; Arthropoda; Insecta; Lepidoptera; Bombycidae. The record is from RNAcentral.
GAACACAAUAGAAAGCCAGACACGAGUGU